RNAcentral lists this long non-coding RNA (767 nucleotides) under Canis lupus familiaris (dog). RNAcentral describes it as "lncRNA (ENSCAFG00030020531.1)". Lineage: Eukaryota; Metazoa; Chordata; Mammalia; Carnivora; Canidae. The record is from RNAcentral.
AGGGAUCCUUCCAAUUUUUCUUUCAGGAAUAGAAGCGCCGGUUUCUGCUUAUUAUUCGCUGUUUCUGAUGGCCAAGAGCAAGGGGCAGUCAAGGCCAUUAAUGCAGAACUGGAAUUCAGCGAGGAGCGCCUCUUCUGCAGACUGCCCCCCGCUAGGGCACGGGGAGGGCACCGGUUCCUCUGCGCGGAAAGGAGGGGGAGAAAGUCGCUAAGAGAAAAAUCCGGUGUGGCCCAGAUCUCCGGGUGCACAUUCCCGGGAGAGGAGCGCGCCGUUUCCAGCGCGGUAGGAUUCCGGGCAGCGAGGGUCGGGUUGCUCGGCUCCCCCGGGAUGGGGACCACGCGCUCGGCGCCGCUGCAGCCUCAGGAAACGGGCGGUGGGGACCGUCCUGGGAGGUGGAGGCAAAAGGAGACGGUUGUUCCCGCCCAGUUUCGAACCGCAAGCCCCUAGUGUGUCAGGCGAGCGUGAGGACCCCUAAACUACGGAACCCGCUCGCCCCGCGGGGCUUUAUCUUAAUUUCUGAGAUCGCGUUGACUGCAGGUGCAGCGCUCCGAGCGGCGGCCACCAGCGACCCAGCGCGCGAGCACAACGCGACCCACGAAGGGGGCUCGCGGGAGGCACCAAGAAGCACCGGCGCAUCAGAGCGGAGAACCCGCAGCCGAACCUUGCCGGGGCGCACCCAGCACCGGGGCGGGGGCCAGGACUUCGCUUCCACCGCAUGGGAUGAGCUGUGCAAGGGUAAAUUCAGGAAGAGACCUUUCUUAAACUGA